Molecule: long non-coding RNA, 194 nt
Organism: Lathyrus oleraceus (garden pea)
Lineage: Eukaryota; Viridiplantae; Streptophyta; Magnoliopsida; Fabales; Fabaceae
Exons: 3
Source: RefSeq, a predicted model, not a curated record
ACAUUAUAUUAGUUCAGAUUUUGAAGCACGAGUGGCCAGCAAGAUGGCGAAGCUUUAUUCCUGAUCUUGUCUCAGCAGCUAAAACUAGUGAAACAAUCUGUGAGAAUUGCAUGGCUAUAUUGAAACUUUUGAGUGAAGAGGUUUUUGAUUUUUCGAGAGGAGAAAUGACACAGCAGAAGAUUAAAGAGCUUAAA